Molecule: non-coding RNA, 591 nt
Organism: Arachis ipaensis
Lineage: Eukaryota; Viridiplantae; Streptophyta; Magnoliopsida; Fabales; Fabaceae
Source: RefSeq, a predicted model, not a curated record
UGCACCAAGGAAGAAGGGAGCAGCUGCAUCUGGAGAGACUGUACAUGGGAAUCGUCAUCAUCUUGGUCAAGCUCUUCUGGAAGAAACCAGAGCAGCGUUACAAGUAUGAACCCAUCCAGGAUGAUCUUGAACUUGGAAGCUCCAAUUUCCCUGUGGUUCUCAUCUAGAUUCCAAUGUUCAAUGAGAAAGUGGUCUUCUUAAUUUGCUUGCAUUUGCUUAUCUCUAGUCUCUAUUUUCCUCUGCCUCCUCUUUUUUAUUUCUGUGAAAAUUGGUUGGUUUUUUUGUGUUCUUUUUCUAUGUAUAUAUAGGUAUACAAGGUGUCAAUUGGUGCAGCUUGUAAUCUUUCGUGGCUUGCUGAUCGUCUUGUCAUCCAAGUUCUUGACGAUUCUACUGAGCCUGCAAUCAAAGUAGUCUUAUUAUUGGUCAAUGUGACUCUCUGGUUUGAGUGGGGCAAGAUCCAGACGCCUACGGAUGAAGUUGUUGUGCCUUAUGAUAGUCUAGCUCCAACUCCUGAAGGUGUGUGACAGGUGAAAGGAUGCACUUCAGCUUUGCUGCAAUUUGCAAAGACAACAGACAUCCCCGUUCUUUUGG